UCCCCUCCGUCCCACCUCUCCCUUCCCCUCGCUGCAUCGCGAGAUCUGUUCGCUGCGCCUCCAUUUGUAUCUCGAGAUAUAUUAGGCCGGCUGCCUUUGCUCUGAUCGACAGGUUGGAGUCACGGAUGAGUUGAACUCUCCCCUUUUCUCCUAAGAUGACAUACUUGCUUUCUUUCUCUGGCCUGAUUACUAGAGUUAUGAGCCAUAGUUCUGAGUACAAGCCAUAUAAAUAACAGAAGAAAACCAUGAACCAAAUUACCAGAAGUCAUCUUCUGGAGUGCUUUGCUGACUUUAACAGAUGUAGAAUUGAUACCAUCACAGAGACCCUUGUCAGAUGUAAUGGCUACAAUAACAUUCUUCUUGACAUUUACCCAUGGCACUUGACAACAGCAGCAAGACCGUACUGCACCGCUGCUGAACUAUUGGCCUGGCUGUGCUCUGUACCUUGAUUUGGUUUUAAGUAGCAAGGAGUGCCUUAGUACUUUUGUCAUGUGGUGUUAGUACUUGCAUUCUGUUCUGUUUUGUGUUGUACUCCAAUUAGGUGCUUGAAAUUUCGUUAGUACCUCCAAAAUUAUCUCAUGCUUUUAAGAUGUGCCAUUGUGUUGAUAUAUUUUAUCUUUAUUUUUCUUUACAUUUUAUAUGCUGUACCUAUCUUGGUUUGAACUAGAUAAGGAUGAUCCUUUACCUAGAUGAUAAACAAUUAACUAGCUCAGCCUAAGCUAUGAUCUACAAAUUUCUUGACGGACAUGUACUACUUUGGUGGAGAUGAUGAUCCUUUCCCCAGAUGAUCGACAAUGAACAUGCUGAGCGCUAUAAUUUCUCUUUAGGAGAAACCAAGCCAGGACUCUGAUCUGCCCAGUAGUACAGAUAUUUGUUCUUUAUUGCUUGCUACUGUUUUGUAGUUUGUUAUCUUUCUUUGGCACCAUGGAUGUAUUUUUUAAUGUUUUGAUAUGCCCAUUAUGCGGUGAAAACUGAUUACUAGUGGAUCUAUUCAUAUGGCCAUCGAGUAUGAGUCAUAGUAAUUCUCAAAUUCUCCAAACAGAUGUAGGUUUCUCUGUGCUAGAUUUACUACAACAUUCUAUUUGUUUUCAAUGUGCCAUUCGAUUUGGAGGAUAUGAUGAUCCUUUCCCCAGAUGAUUGGCAAUGAACAUGCUGAGCUCUAUUAUUUCUCUUCAGAGAAACCAAGCCAGUAUUCUGAUCCUCCUAGCCAUUGUAGAUGCCUGUAUUCAUAUGGCCAUUGUGGAUAAUUCUAUGCUUUAAUAAUUCUCCUGAUAUAUCACUGUUUAUUAGUAGGAUAUUUCUUCUGCUUGGCCAUAACAACAAUUUCAUGUUGUUUCUUUUGUAAUUCGAUGGUUGACAGUCUCAUAUAUUACACUAGCUAAUAUAUUACAACAGAAUGAAUCAACUACUCUCGUGGUCGAUCCCAUCCAAUCUAGUAUUAUUUACCGUCUAUCUGUCUGUAUGUAUUUACUCUGAACAAAAUUCAGUCUGCACAUCUGCAUUUGCAAUGCACAAGUACAGAUACAUCCGCCCCUGCUAUUUUCUUGUUAUACAUUACAUAGACGCAUACACACGCCGGGCUAUUUCUGUGUCUGUCUGCCUGGCCUCUCAAGGAUGCAUAUCUCUUUCGUAUGUAUUGAAUUUUGUAACAAUUUUGUUUUCCUCAUACUUACAAGAUGAUGUGCUCGCUACUUACAUGUUUUCUGAUGCCGCAACAAAGGACUAUAUGUGGUUUCUUCAGUGGGGUUGUCACUGUCGCUCCUCAUGUUCAAUAACAUUUCAGCAUUGGACCUGCUAGUCACCCAAGCCAAGCCUCGCAUCGCUUCAACAAAGUGAUACUUCUUCCAAUCAACCCCUGCUUCGACUCUGCUCUUUUUUCCAUCUUCUCUUAUUUAAGCUAAGAAAGAUUCUGAGUUUGCAUCCAUCUCAUUACACUAGCUAGCAGAAUAUAUUAGUUAAGGCAACUCUACUACAUAUCAAUUUCCCGUACUGGAUUGGUUCUAUAUUUUUAAAGUUGUUUCGUGGUGCAUGAGCGCAACCAGAAGAAAUAUAGGCUUAUGAUGACAAUUUUCCUUCUUAAGUAAUCAUAGUUGUUGGCUUCGGUAGCUUGCUGAAUAUGCUUUAGUUCAUGGGUUCAAGUCCUGGAAACAGCCUCUUACAGAAAUGUAGGGAAAGGCUGCGUACUAUAGACCCAAAGUGGUCGGACCCUUCCCUGGACCCUGCGCAAGCGGGAGCUACAUGCACCAGGUUGCCCUUUUUAUAUAUAGAAAUGACGUGCCUUCUAUGCUUAAAUGAUUGUUUGGCUCUAUAUAAUUCUUGACAUGAAUAUCUUGACUUCCCAAACAAGUAUAGGACUGUACCUAUGCAUACAGAUUAUCCUAACAAAACUGAAAAUAAAAAUUGAAGCAUGAAAUAAGCAAUAAGUGGUUGAUUUUUAUUUGCAUGUUAAGCGGAAAGUUGUAGCCAAGGCUUAUAUAUUACGAAAUAUUGUCACACCUCUGAGCUUCUACUGUUGUUAGGGACAUCAUAGUGUGAUCUUCAUGAUUUUUCACUUGACGAUGUACUGAUUCAUUAGUCAAGCAGAGACCGAAGUCAUCUUUUGCUACUGUUAGCUCUAUGGAUGUUUAUUUACCUACAACUUCUGCCAGCUCUAAGUUGGUUAUAUAGCAGUUCAAUUCAGUCAAUCUGUUGGAACUCGUUUGUCUAUUACUUGUAUCCAGAUUUUAUAUCCUGCCCUAUGCCAUUGUCGACUUGCUUAGAUACAUAAUUGUUAUGUCUUGCAAUCUGGUAUUGAUGAUUGUCAAUGUAUUCAUUUAUACCUUUAUAGUGUACCUUGUAUGUGACCCAGCUGAUUUGUAUAACAAUGCUCUGUUUCCAAUAGAUGUAUGUUGAUGCCUGAUGGCCGAUUCCUUAAAACUUCACUGUUGCAGUAGCAUUUUAACUUAGUGCAUAGAUGUAUGAGCAAUCACUUAUGCUUGAAACCUUGCUCUCUUUCCCAGGAACCAUCGUGGUCUGCGUCACUACUGGGGCAGGAGAGGAAAGACUGUUGGUGUCUCCAAGAAGCGAUAAACUGCUUCAGAAAGAUCCCCGCAUAGCUUCACUACUACUGUGUUGGCCCAUUUCCAGAAUCGUAAGGAGUGUUCUUGUUUAGACGAUCACCUUGGAUGAUGCUUUUGCUUAAGGAGAGGCUCAAGAAGAUCAGGGAGCUCCACAUCCGAGUUUCAGCCAUCCUCUACAGCAAGGAGCUCUGGGCCAAAGGAGCAAGCAGCGCUGCUAGUUCCUUGAGGCCAGAUCGAGUAAGAUGGCGCACCAUGGCGUGUGGUGGCGUAUUUUGCUUCCGAGAACAGUACUGUUUAUUUGAAGUGAGAUGUACUCAUCUAGUGCCUGGCAAAAACUGAAGGAUGAAGUGUCAUGUACUGUCUAUGUUGUAGUGAGCUAUUGUAGGAGUGAAAUGAAAAUUUAUCUGUUGGUGUAUGUGCUAUUUCCCUGUAAUGUGUUGUGUACAUUUUACUUGAACAUUAAAUUCCUAGAAAAAAUGUUCUUACUGGA
This is a long non-coding RNA of Triticum dicoccoides, 3549 nucleotides long. RefSeq lists it as uncharacterized. NCBI's taxonomy places the organism in Eukaryota, Viridiplantae, Streptophyta, Magnoliopsida, Poales, Poaceae. The record is from RefSeq and is a predicted model, not a curated record. The transcript has 2 exons.